Long non-coding RNA from Lutzomyia longipalpis, 338 nucleotides. RefSeq lists it as uncharacterized. The record is from RefSeq and is a predicted model, not a curated record. The transcript has 4 exons. NCBI's taxonomy places the organism in Eukaryota, Metazoa, Arthropoda, Insecta, Diptera, Psychodidae.
CAUUUUGGUUGGAUUCUUUGCGGUCUUCGGAUCAUUUCUGAUUAUUUUCCCCUUUUAUUCUGGAAAAUAAUUCAAAAAAUAUGCUUCCGGAGGUGACUCCCGGAGAAUACGAUGCUUCACUAGAAAUAAGCUGAAACUGAUCUGGAUUGGCUUAGAGAAAGCCUGAGAAUUGAUCAAUGAAAGCCCACCUGGAAAAUUCACCUGAUUCCACACGAAGGUGCUCUGAUGUCCAGGACGUUCUGAAAGACGCUCCACAAAACAUAAUCUGCAUGAAAAACUUGAUUGUUAUAGGAUUAUGUUGAAAUAAAAUGAAAGAAUAAAGAAUUUUAAUUAAAAAA